RNAcentral lists this ribosomal RNA (217 nucleotides) under Streptomyces sp. SID4946. RNAcentral's name for it is "partial 23S ribosomal RNA". It matches the Rfam family "Bacterial large subunit ribosomal RNA", at positions 2715 to 2925 of the family's 2925-position model. Lineage: Bacteria; Bacillati; Actinomycetota; Actinomycetes; Kitasatosporales; Streptomycetaceae. The record is from RNAcentral.
UGCCAGUUGUUCUGCCAAGGGCAUGGCUGGUUGGCUACGUUCGGGAGGGAUAACCGCUGAAAGCAUCUAAGCGGGAAGCCUGCUUCGAGAUGAGGACUCCCACCCACUUGAUGGGGUAAGGCUCCCAGUAGACGACUGGGUUGAUAGGCCGGAUCUGGAAGCCAGGUAACUGGUGGAGGUGACCGGUACUAAUAGGCCGAGGGCUUGUCCUCAGUUG